GACGAACGCUGGCGGCGUGCUUAACACAUGCAAGUCGAACGGUGAAGCGCCUUCCUUUUUGGUGGGUGUGGAUGAGUGGCGAACGGGUGAGUAACACGUGAGUAACCUGCCCCCUUCUUCUGGAUAACCGCAUGAAAGUGUGGCUAAUACGGGAUAUUCUGGGUCUGUCGCAUGAUGGGUCUGGGAAAGAUAUUGUUUCGGUGGGGGAUGGGCUCGCGGCCUAUCAGCUUGUUGGUGGGGUGAUGGCCUACCAAGGCGGUGACGGGUAGCCGGCCUGAGAGGGUGGACGGUCACACUGGGACUGAGACACGGCCCAGACGCCUACGGGAGGCAGCAGUGGGGAAUAUUGCACAAGGGGCGCAAGCCUGAUGCAGCGACGCCGCGUGAGGGAUGGAGGCCUUCGGGUUGUGAACCUCUUUCGCCAGUGAAGCAGGCCUGCCUCGUUUGUGGGUGGGUUGACGGUAGCUGGAUAAGAAGCGCCGGCUAACUACGU
Molecule: ribosomal RNA, 493 nt
Filed under: uncultured bacterium
Lineage: Bacteria
Description: partial 16S ribosomal RNA
Rfam family: Bacterial small subunit ribosomal RNA
Source: RNAcentral